RNAcentral lists this ribosomal RNA (467 nucleotides) under uncultured bacterium. RNAcentral describes it as "bacterial SSU rRNA". It matches the Rfam family "Bacterial small subunit ribosomal RNA", at positions 338 to 795 of the family's 1533-position model. The record is from RNAcentral.
CCUACGGGUGGCACCAGUGAGGAAUUUUGCGCAAUGGGGGAAACCCUGACGCAGCAACGCCGCGUGAGUGAAGAAGGCCUUCGGGUCGUAAAGCUCUGUCAAGUGGGAAGAACCCUUCCGUGGUUAACAGCCACAGGAAGCUGACGGUACCACUGAAGGAAGCACCGGCUAACUCCGUGCCAGCAGCCGCGGUAAUACGGAGGGUGCAAGCGUUAUUCGGAAUUACUGGGCGUAAAGGGCGCGCAGGCGGCCUGUUAAGUCAGUUGUGAAAGCCCGGGGCUCAACCCCGGAAGUGCGACUGAAACUGGCAGGCUUGAGUAUGGGAGAGGGAAGUGGAAUUCCUGGUGUAGCGGUGAAAUGCGUAGAUAUCAGGAGGAACACCAGUGGCGAAGGCGACUUCCUGGACCAAUACUGACGCUGAGGCGCGAAGGCGUGGGGAGCAAACAGGAUUAGAUACCCUCGUAGUC